This 307-nucleotide small RNA is filed under the name uncultured bacterium. RNAcentral describes it as "bacterial SSU rRNA". It matches the Rfam family "Bacterial small subunit ribosomal RNA", at positions 70 to 358 of the family's 1533-position model. The record is from RNAcentral.
GAAAGUGGAGCAAUCCAUGAGUACAGUGGCGCACGGGUGAGUAACACGUGACUAACCUACCUUUAAGUGGGGGAUAACCUCGGGAAACCGGGGCUAAUACCGCAUAACCUCGCGAGGUGAAAUUCCUUGCGAGCAAAGCAGCAAUGCGCUUUUAGAGGGGGUCGCGGCUGAUUAGCUAGUUGGCGGGGUAACGGCCCACCAAGGCGGGGAUCAGUAUCCGGCCUGAGAGGGCGCACGGACACACUGGAACUUUUUCGCGGUCCAGGAUCCUACGGGAGGCUCCAUCCGGAUCUGNCGUAAAACUCAC